GCGGGCGUGGCGGAACUGGUAGACGCGCCGGGUUUAGGUCCCGGUCCCGAGAGGGAUGGAGGUUCGACUCCUCUCGCCCGCA
RNAcentral lists this transfer RNA (82 nucleotides) under Actinomycetes bacterium. RNAcentral describes it as "Actinobacteria bacterium tRNA-Leu". It matches the Rfam family "tRNA". Rfam says of the family: Transfer RNA (tRNA) molecules are approximately 80 nucleotides in length. Their secondary structure includes four short double-helical elements and three loops (D, anti-codon, and T loops). The record is from RNAcentral. RNAcentral also lists the same sequence under 1 other name. Lineage: Bacteria; Bacillati; Actinomycetota; Actinomycetes.